GGCCUUGACAUACUAAGAACUUUCCAGAGAUGGAUUGGUGCCUUCGGGAACUUAGAUACAGGUGCUGCAUGGCUGUCGUCAGCUCGUGUCGUGAGAUGUUGGGUUAAGUCCGCAACGAGCGCAACCCUUUUCCUUAUUUGCCAGCGGGUUAAGCCGGGAACUUUAAGGAUACUGCCAGUGACAAACUGGAGGAAGGCGGGGACGACGUCAAGUCAUCAUGGCCCUUACGGCCAGGGCUACACACGUGCUACAAUGGUCGGUACAAAGGGUUGCUACCUCGCGAGAGGAUGCUAAUCUCAAAAAGCCGAUCGUAGUCCGGAUCGCAGUCUGCAACUCGACUGCGUGAAGUCGGAAUAGCUAGUAAUCGCGGAUCAGAAUGCCGCGGUGAAUACGUUCCCGGGCCUUGUACACACCGCCCGUCACACCAUGGGAGUUUGUUGCACCAGAAGUAGGUAGUCUAACCGCAAGGAGGACGCUUACCACGGUGUGGCUGAUGACUGGGGUGAAGUCGUAACAAGGUAAGCGUAGAUGA
Molecule: ribosomal RNA, 532 nt
Filed under: uncultured bacterium
Lineage: Bacteria
Description: bacterial SSU rRNA
Rfam family: Bacterial small subunit ribosomal RNA
Source: RNAcentral